AACGAACGCUGGCGGCGCGCUUAACACAUGCAAGUCGAACGAGAAGCUGUAGCAAUACAGUUGUACAGUGGCGAACGGGUGAGGAAUACAUGGGUAACCUACCCUCGGUGGGAAUAACCAGCCGAAAGGCUGGCUAAUACCGCGUACGCUUCCCAAUCUGCGGGUUGGGAAGGAAAGCUCUACCGUGGGUAGAGCGCUCAAGGGACGGGCUCAUGUCCUAUCAGCUUGUUGGAGGGUAACGGCCUACCAAGGCAACGACGGGUAGCUGGUCUGAGAGGACGAUCAGCCACACUGGC
RNAcentral lists this ribosomal RNA (296 nucleotides) under uncultured bacterium. Its description in RNAcentral is "partial 16S ribosomal RNA". It matches the Rfam family "Bacterial small subunit ribosomal RNA", at positions 29 to 317 of the family's 1533-position model. The record is from RNAcentral.